KGAAUUAAAUUUAAAAGGCUGCGGUAUUUUGACCGACAAAGGUAGCAUAAUCAUUAGUUUUUUAAUUGAAAACUUGUAUGAAUGGUUUAAUGAAAUAUUAGCUGUUUCAUUAAAAUAAAUAAAAAUUAAUUUUUUAGUAAAAAAGCUAAAAUAGAAUUAAAAGACGAGAAGACCCUAUAGAGUUUUAUAUAAAUAUAUUUAUAAAUUAAAAAGAAAAAUUUAAUUUUUAUUUAUUUUUAUAUUUUGUUGGGGUGACAAUAAAAUUUAAAAAUCUUUUAUUAUUUUUAAACAAUGAUUUUUGAAAAAUUGAUCCAUUAUUAAUGAUUAUAAGAUUAAAUUACCUUAGGGAUAACAGCGUAAUUUUUUUGUAGAGUUCUUAUCGAUAAAAAAUUUUGCGACCUCGAUGUUGGAUUAAGAUAAAUAUAAGGUGUAGAAG
This 436-nucleotide ribosomal RNA is filed under the name Epicypta aterrima. Its description in RNAcentral is "partial 16S ribosomal RNA". The record is from RNAcentral. Lineage: Eukaryota; Metazoa; Arthropoda; Insecta; Diptera; Mycetophilidae.